GCAUAUCAAUAAGCGGAGGAAAAGAAACCAACAGGGAUUGCCUCAGUAACGGCGAGUGAAGCGGCAACAGCUCAAAUUUGAAAUCUGGCCGCAAGGUCCGAGUUGUAAUUUGUAGAGGAUGCUUUUGGCGAGGUGCCUUCCGAGUUCCCUGGAACGGGACGCCAUAGAGGGUGAGAGCCCCGUACGGUAGGACCACCAAGCCUCUGUAAAGCUCCUUCGACGAGUCGAGUAGUUUGGGAAUGCUGCUCUAAAUGGGAGGUGUACGUCUUCUAAAGCUAAAUACCGGCCAGAGACCGAUAGCGCACAAGUAGAGUGAUCGAAAGAUGAAAAGCACUUUGAAAAGAGGGUUAAAAAGUACGUGAAAUUGUUGAAAGGGAAGCAUUCAUGACCAGACUUGGGCUUGGUUGAACAUCCGGCGUUCUCGCCGGUGCACUCUGCCAGUCCAGGCCAGCAUCAGUUUGCCCCGGGGGAUAAAGGCGGCGGGAAUGUGGCUCCCUUCGGGGAGUGUUAUAGCCCGUCGUGUAAUGCCCUGGGGCGGACUGAGGAACGCGCUUCGGCACGGAUGCUGGCGUAAUGGUCAUCAAUGACCCGUCUUGAAACACGGACCAAGGAGUCGUCUUCGUAUGCGAGUGUUCGGGUGUCAAACCCCUACGCGUAAUGAAAGUGAACGUAGGUGAGAGCUUCGGCGCAUCACCGACCGAUCCUGAUGUUCUCGGAUGGAUUUGAGUAAGAGCAUACGGGGCCGGACCCGAAAGAAGGUGAACUAUGCCUGUAUAGGGUGAAGCCAGAGGAAACUCUGGUGGAGGCUCGCAGCGGUUCUGACGUGCAAAUCGAUCGUCAAAUAUGGGCAUGGGGGCGAAAGACU
Molecule: ribosomal RNA, 865 nt
Filed under: Sarocladium kiliense
Lineage: Eukaryota; Fungi; Ascomycota; Sordariomycetes; Hypocreales; Sarocladiaceae
Description: LSU rRNA
Rfam family: Eukaryotic large subunit ribosomal RNA
Source: RNAcentral